Long non-coding RNA from Talpa occidentalis (Iberian mole), 673 nucleotides. RefSeq lists it as uncharacterized. NCBI's taxonomy places the organism in Eukaryota, Metazoa, Chordata, Mammalia, Eulipotyphla, Talpidae. The transcript is spliced from 3 exons. The record is from RefSeq and is a predicted model, not a curated record.
AGUUCAAAGAACAACAACAAAGUAGCCAUCUGUGCUUAAUUUCAUCAAUCCACUGUCGAUGGUCACGUGAGCCUGGCUUUUGGACUGAGGCAGCGCACGUGGCCAGACCUCAGUCCCCCCCACCCCAUGGUCCUGGGGGUUGGGGGGGCAGGAGCCUGGUGCCCUGUGGGCAGCGGAGGGCAGCGCACCUGUUGCCAGUGAGGGGAGGCCAGCGCUCUUCUCAAGACACAGUCCCCAACCCCCUGGGUGUUUAUGCCGCUUAGCCCCCCACUAGCUGGCUGCUUCCUCCCACCAGUGGGCUUUCCAAGGAAGGCGCUGGCCUCCUUCCUGUCCACAGACCCCAGGUGAAGGCGUGGAGCAGACACAGGGGAUGGUGGUGGCUGCACGGCCUGACCUGGCCCCUGAAGAGGGUGCUUAUCCAAACCACUAGAAAAUCUGUCCCAGUGACCGGAGGCCGCAGGACCCAGGGGCUCCCGCGGGGUCAGGGGGUCAGCCAGGCCUCCUUCCUGCUGCAGGGAGGUUCACUGCGCUGGUUCCUGCUGUGUUUGGUUCCCUUACCUGACUGGGUUCUAGAAAUCACCAGUCUGUCUAAUUUGUUUGCAUAAAGCACCUGGAGCAAUGAAGGCAGGGAUGCAGCUCGGUGGCUCUUGUUUCCCACUGGAACUUUGGAUGA